ACUAACAAGGAUUCCCCUAGUAACUGCGAGUGAAGCGGGAAAAGCUCAAAUUUAAAAUCUGGCGGUCUCUGGCCGUCCGAGUUGUAAUCUAGAGAAGUAAUGCCCGUGCUGGACCGUGUAUAAGUCUCCUGGGAUGGAGCGUCAUAGAGGGUGAGAAUCCCGUCUUUGACACGGACUACCAGUGCAUUGUGGUAUGCUCUCAAAGAGUCGAGUUGUUUGGGAAUGCAGCUCAAAAUGGGUGGUAAAUUCCAUCUAAAGCUAAAUAUUGGCGAGAGACCGAUAGCGAACAAGUACCGUGAGGGAAAGAUGAAAAGAACUUUGGAAAGAGAGUUAAACAGUACGUGAAAUUGCUGAAAGGGAAACGCUUGAAGUCAGUCGCGUUGGCCAGGGAUCAGCCUUGCUCUUGCAUGGUGUACUUUCUGGUUGACGGGUCAGCAUCAAUUUUGAUCGCUGGAAAAGGGCCUGGGGAAUGUGGCAGCUUCGGCUGUGUUAUAGCCCCUGGUCGCAUACAGCGGUUGGGAUUGAGGAACUCAGCACGCCGCAAGGCCGGGUUUCGACCACGUUCGUGCUUAGGAUGCUGGCAUAAUGGCUUUAAGCGACCCGUCUUGAAACACGGACCAAGGAGUCUAACAUGCCUGCGAGUAUUUGGGUGGAAAACCCAAGUGCGUAAUGAAAGUGAAAGUUGAGAUCCCUGUCGUGGGGAGCAUCGACGCCCGGACCAGAACUUUUGGGACGGAUCCGCGGUGGAGCAUGUAUGUUGGGACCCGAAAGAUGGUGAACUAUGCCUGAAUAGGGUGAAGCCAGAGGAAACUCUGGUGGAGGCUCGUAGCGAUUCUGACGUGCAAAUCGAUCGUCAAAUUUGGGUAUAGG
RNAcentral lists this ribosomal RNA (870 nucleotides) under Agaricus dilutibrunneus. RNAcentral describes it as "eukaryotic LSU rRNA". It matches the Rfam family "Eukaryotic large subunit ribosomal RNA", at positions 64 to 921 of the family's 3401-position model. Lineage: Eukaryota; Fungi; Basidiomycota; Agaricomycetes; Agaricales; Agaricaceae. RNAcentral also lists the same sequence under 1 other name. The record is from RNAcentral.